GAGGGUGUAGCUCAGUGGCAGAGUGCAUGUUUAGCACGCACGAGGUUCUGGGUUUGAUUCCCGGUACCUCCA
RNAcentral lists this transfer RNA (72 nucleotides) under Camelus dromedarius (Arabian camel). It matches the Rfam family "tRNA". From Rfam's summary of the family: Transfer RNA (tRNA) molecules are approximately 80 nucleotides in length. Lineage: Eukaryota; Metazoa; Chordata; Mammalia; Artiodactyla; Camelidae. RNAcentral also lists the same sequence under 1 other name. The record is from Rfam by way of RNAcentral.